This 3197-nucleotide long non-coding RNA is filed under the name Pan troglodytes (chimpanzee). Its description in RNAcentral is "long non-coding RNA NONPTRT010605". Lineage: Eukaryota; Metazoa; Chordata; Mammalia; Primates; Hominidae. The record is from RNAcentral.
UUGCCAUUGCUUUUGGUGUUUUAGACAUGAAGUCCCUGCCCAUGCCUAUAUACUGAAUGAUAUUGCCUAAGUUUUCUUCUAGGGUUUCUAUGGUUUUAGGUCUAACAUUUAAGUCUUUAAUCCAUCUUUAAUUAAUUUUUGUAUAAGGUGUCAGGAAGGGAUUCAGUUUCAGCUUUCUACAUAUGGCUAGCCAGUUUUCCCAGCACCAUUUAUUUAAUAGGGAAUCCUUUCCGCAUUUCUUGUUUUUGUCAGGUUUGUCAAAGAUCAGAUGGUUGUACAUGUGUGGUAUUAUUUCUGAGGGCUCUGUUCUGUUCCAUUGGUCUAUAUCUCUGAUGGGAUGUAUCUCAAAAUAAUAAGAGCUAUUUAUGAGAAACCCACAGCCAAUAUCAUACUGAAUGGGCAAAAACUAGAAGCAUUCCCUUUGAAAACUGGCAUAAGACAGGAAUGCCCUCUCUCACCACUCCUAUUCAAUGUAGUGUUGGAAGUUCUGGCCAGGGCAAUCAGGCAGGAGAAAGAAAUAAAGGGUAUUCAAUUAGGAAAAGAGGAAGUCAAAUAGUCCCUGUUUGCAGAUGACAUGAUUGUCAGCCUGAGAACACCAGUGGGAUUGGCUGGAGACCUCAGCUAAAAGGACCCUCACUGGGCGGGACCUUGAGAACUAUGUGCCAGGGAGAAUUCAGAUCUCUGUUAGCCCAAGAACACCGGUGUGGGUGGCUGGAGGCCACGGUUGAGAGGUCCCUCACUGGGCAGGACCUCAAGACCUCCAUACCAGGGAGAAUUCAAAUCUCUGUCAGCCCCAAAACACUGGCAGGGGUGGCUGGAGGCCGAAGUCCUUCACUGGGCCAGACCCUGAGACCUCCAUACCAGGGAGAAUUCAAAUCUCUGUCAGCCCAAGAACACCGGUGGGGGUGGCUGGAGGCCCAACUGGGAGGUCACUCACUUGGCAGAACCUAAAGACCUCCAUGCCAGGGAGAAUUCAAAUCUCUGUCAGCCCCAGAACACUGACGGGGUUGGCUGCAGGCCCCAGUUGGGAAGUCCCUCACUGUGCAGGACCCCAAGACCGCCAUGCCAGCGAGAACUCGAACCUCUGUCAGCCCCAGAACACCAGUGGGGUUGGCUGGAGACUGCAGCUAAAAGGAUCCUCAUUGGGCAGGACCUCAAGAACUAUAUGCCAGGGAGAAUUCGAAUCUCUGUCAGUCUGAGAACACCAGGGGCGGGUGGCUGGAGGCCUGAAUUGAAAAGACCCACACCAGACAGGAAGUGGAGACCUCCAUGUCAGGAAGAGUUCAAAUCUCUGUCAGCAUGAGAACACAGGUGGGGGUGGCUGGAGGCCCCAGUUAGGAGAACCCUUACUGGGCGGGACUUCAAGAACCAAGAACUCCAUACCUGGGAGAAUUCAAAUCUCUGUCAGCCCCAGAACACUGGCGGGGGUGGCUGGAGGCCCCAGUUGGGAGAUCCCUCACUGGGCAGGACCUAAAGACCUCCAUGUCAGGGAGAACUCAAAUCUCUGUCAGCCUGAGAACACCAGUGGGAUUGGCUGGAGACCCCAGCUAAAAGGACCCUCAUUGGGCGGGACCUUGAGAACUACGUGCCAGGGAGAAUUCAGAUCUCUGUCAGCCCAAGAACACAAGUGGGGGUGGCUGGAGGCCACGGUUGAGAGGUCCCUCACUGGGCAGGACCUCAAGACCUCCACGCCAGGGAGAAUUCAAAUCUCUGUCAGCCCCAAAACACUGGCAGGGGUGGCUGGAGGCCGAAGUCCUUCACUGGGCCAGACCCUGAGACCCCCAUACCAGGGAGAAUUCAAAUCUCUGUCAGCCCAAGAACACCGGUGGGGGUGGCUGGAGGCAUGAUUGGGAGGUCACUCACUUGGCAGGAGCUAAAGACCUCCAUGCCAGGGAGAAUUCAAAUCUCUGUCAGCCCCAGAACACUGGCGGGGUUAGCUGGAGGCCCCAGUUGGGAGGUCCCUCACUGGGCGGGACCCCAAGGCCGUCAUGCCAGGGAGAACUCGAACCUCUGUCAGCCCCAGAACACCAGUGGGGUUGGCUGGAGACCCCAGCUAAAAGGACCCUCGCUGGGCAGGACCUCAAGAACUAUGUGCCAGGGAGAAUUCGAAUCUCUGUCUGCCUGAGAACACCAGGGGCGGGUGGCUGGAGGCCUGAAUUGAAAAGACCCACACCGGACAGGAAGUGGAGACCUCCAUGUCAGGAAGAAUUCAAAUCUCUGUCAGCAUGAGAACACAGGUGGGGGUGGCCGGAGGCCCCAGUUAGGAGAAUCCUUACUGGGCGGGACUUCAAGAACCAAGAACUGCAUACCUGGGAGAAUUCAAAUCUCUGUCAGCCCCAGAACACUGGCGGGGGUGGCUGGAGGCCCCAGUUGGGAGAUCCCUCACUGGGCAGGACUUAAGACCUCCAUGCCAGGGAGAACUCAAAUCUCUGUCAGCCUGAGAACACCGGUGGGAUUGGCUGGAGACCCCAGCUAAAAGGACCCUCAUUGGGCGGGACUUUGAGAACUACGUGCCAGGGAGAAUUCAGAUAUCUGUCAGCCCGAGAACACUGGUGGGGGUGGCUGGAGGCCACGGUUGAGAGGUCCCUCACUGGGCAGGACCUCAAGACCUCCAUGCCAGGGAGAAUUUAAAUCUCUGUCAGCCCCAGAACACUGGCAGGGGUGGCUGGAGGCCAAGGUCCUUCACUGGGCCAGAUCCUGAGACAUCCAUACCAGGGAGAAUUCAAAUCUCUGUCAGCCCAAGAACACCGGUGGGGGUGCUGGAGGCCCGAUUGGGAGGUCACUCACUUGGCAGGACUUAAAGACCUCCAUUCCAGGGAGAAUUCAAAUCUCUGUCAGCCCCAGAACACCGGUGGGGGUGGCUGGAGGCCCCAGUUGAGAGGUCCCUUACUGGGCAAGAUCCUGAGACCUCCAUGCCAGGGAGAACUCAAAUCUCUGUCAGCCUGAGAACACUGGAGGGGGUGGCUGGGGACCCCAGGUAAAAGGACCCUCAUUGGGCAGGACCUUGAGAACUACGUGCCAGGGAGAAUUCAGAUCUCUGUCAGCCCUGGAACACCAGCGGGGGUGGCUGGAGGCCAUGGUUGGGAGGUCCCUCACUGGGCCAGACCCUGAGGCCUUCAUGGCAGGGAGAAUUCAAAUCUCUGUCAGCCCCAGAACACUGGCAGGGGUGGCUGGAGGCCUCGGUUGGGAGGUCCCUC